RNAcentral lists this ribosomal RNA (524 nucleotides) under uncultured bacterium. Its description in RNAcentral is "partial 16S ribosomal RNA". It matches the Rfam family "Bacterial small subunit ribosomal RNA", at positions 28 to 523 of the family's 1533-position model. The record is from RNAcentral.
GACGAACGCUGGCGGCGUGCUUAACACAUGCAAGUCGAGCGCGAAAGGGGGGGGCAACUCCCCCGAGUAGAGCGGCGCACGGGUGAGUAACGCGUGGGUAACCUACCUCCCGGCGGGGGAUAACUACUCGAAAGGGUGGCUAAUACCGCAUGAGACCACGGGGUCUUCGGAUCCUGAGGCCAAAGGUCGCUCCGGCUUGCCGGGGCGGUCACCGGGUGAUGGGCCCGCGUCCGAUUAGCUAGUUGGUGAGGUAACGGCUCACCAAGGCUACGAUCGGUAGCUGGUGUGAGAGGAUGAUCAGCCACACUGGAACUGGAACACGGUCCAGACUCCUACGGGAGGCAGCAGUGAGGAAUAUUGCGCAAUGGGGGAAACCCUGACGCAGCAACGCCGCGUGGGUGAAGAAGGCCUUCGGGUCGUAAAGCCCUUUCGGACGGGACGAACGCUCCGCGGUGACAACCCGCGGAGCCUGACGGUACCGUAAGAAGAAGCACCGGCUAACUCCGUGCCAGCCGCCGCCGUAA